GGUGGUUCUCAGGUGACGCACCCCAAAUUCAGGCUCCCUCCUCUCUAGUUCUGGGUGCAUCACCCAAGAACCGCA
Non-coding RNA from Myotis brandtii (Brandt's bat), 75 nucleotides. NCBI's taxonomy places the organism in Eukaryota, Metazoa, Chordata, Mammalia, Chiroptera, Vespertilionidae. The record is from Rfam.